RNAcentral lists this ribosomal RNA (496 nucleotides) under Staphylococcus aureus. RNAcentral's name for it is "partial 23S ribosomal RNA". It matches the Rfam family "Bacterial large subunit ribosomal RNA", at positions 1495 to 1989 of the family's 2925-position model. Lineage: Bacteria; Bacillati; Bacillota; Bacilli; Caryophanales; Staphylococcaceae. The record is from RNAcentral.
CGAUUGGAUUGCACGUCUAAGCAGUAAGGCUGAGUAUUAGGCAAAUCCGGUACUCGUUAAGGCUGAGCUGUGAUGGGGAGAAGACAUUGUGUCUUCGAGUCGUUGAUUUCACACUGCCGAGAAAAGCCUCUAGAUAGAAAAUAGGUGCCCGUACCGCAAACCGACACAGGUAGUCAAGAUGAGAAUUCUAAGGUGAGCGAGCGAACUCUCGUUAAGGAACUCGGCAAAAUGACCCCGUAACUUCGGGAGAAGGGGUGCUCUUUAGGGUUAACGCCCAGAAGAGCCGCAGUGAAUAGGCCCAAGCGACUGUUUAUCAAAAACACAGGUCUCUGCUAAACCGUAAGGUGAUGUAUAGGGGCUGACGCCUGCCCGGUGCUGGAAGGUUAAGAGGAGUGGUUAGCUUCUGCGAAGCUACGAAUCGAAGCCCCAGUAAACGGCGGCCGUAACUAUAACGGUCCUAAGGUAGCGAAAUUCCUUGUCGGGUAAGUUCCGACCC